AGAACAGGUGUAGAAUAUCUCAGCUUUGGGGCUAACUUGACUGAGACAAACUGAUGCUUUCCAAAUAUCAGAAAAAGGAAUGGGGAAAGGGAUACAGGAACCCUUGCUGCAUCUCCUUUGCACAAAGGCAAAUAUCCACAUAUACAAUGUUCAUCCCAUUCUUUGUCCUUCCAUGCAUGUUUUUUUCUGUUUCAAACGUUUCGUGGCAUUUUCUUUUAUGGAGCGUAAAAGUGGGUGUGGUAUAUCUUUGCAAACUUUCUCUGAUCUCCAAAUUCCAAGAAGAAAUUAAGAAACAUUCAGCAACUUCCCAAGAAUACGGAAACUCUGUUCAUCAAAAGUGGGUGUGGUAUUGGGUUUGUUCUUUUGCAGGUGGAUCUGAAUUAAUGGAAGCAAUUACAGCAGGUAGCACACCCAUGCAUGCAGACCAAUGGAUGGAAUAGAGCAGUAGAAAAUUGAUGCUGCAUCACAACGAACCCAUCAAAGGAAGUAUAGUUUUGUAUAUUCCACUCCUAUGAUUGUCCCUCUCACUUCUUCUAAUUCCUGUGUCUUGCAUAGAAGUCACGGGUAUGCCUUGAAACUUGAAAAAAAAAAAUAAAGACGCAUGCAGUGUCCUUGUUCCUUUCUCUGCAAACAAAACAAGAUACCUCUGUGAGAAACCAUAUAGCUAGAAGGCGAUCGAUGUGGCUGUGAAGAACACAAUUUGGUCACAAAAUACCACGGGGAUAUAUACCAGUCAGGACUCUGGGGCCAGUACAGUACACAACAUAUAUGCUCAUCUUCUCUGGAAAUUUUAUAUGCAUAUCCUCUGAAAUUUGAUGACUCCAGGUCCAGAACCCAAGCAUGCGUGCAUUUAUCCCCUCUCUUUGUGCAUGUGUACUUUGCCCUGGCCUUGCAUGCAAGCCAGGGUGCUAUCACGUCAAAUCAUAGUGCUUGUAAAUGUAGCUGUGUAGUAUUCAUGAAGGUGACUUUUGUAUCUGUAUUUAAGAGGAAAAGGUUGUAGAAAUAGGAAUCCGUAACCUCAAUUGUUAAAAAUGAUCUUCCUUUAAUUUGCAGUAGUUAUGUGUCUUGACAUUAUUCUACUCUCUGGUGAACUACUAUGUCUUCUUUUACAGAAGAACUAUAUAUUCAUUGCAACUAAUUUGUCUGAUGCCACCAAUGUGUAAUACUAAUUCAUAUACUGAGUGGUAUAUAGUGUGGUAAGAUAUAUAAUAAUGGAAAAAAAAGCAUUGCUGGGAUAAUGUAUUCCAAAAUACGUAUAUCUUUCUAUUGACAUUAAGUACUAGAACCAGGCAAUAAGAUUUAUUUUUAUAGGGUUGAAGAGGACACCCAGCCACUCAGGCUUGAACCUGCUCACAAAAUAGUGUUACUUCCCUGAGAACCGGUUCCAGGGAGUUUCACGGCCAUACAGGAGCCAGCAGGCAUAGGUGCCAUGGAAUUCAUUUCCUCGUGAUUCCUCGUGAGCACUGAGCACAGCCCCUCCUAAAAACCAAGCGGUGCUAGUACGUGCCAAGCGGAAGUGCGUGCAGAGGCCAGAGGCAGGCUCGCACAGAUAUCCAUGCAUAUGCAUGUAUAAUGGUGAGAGAGAGAGAGACUGGAGGAGACUAGAGGUCCAGACUCCAGCUUUUUAUUUGAAUAUUUGAAGGUGGCGCCCUGUGCCUGCACGUGUGUAUGUGUGUGCUCCAGUCUCAGACAGUGAGACUGGAGAUAUAGCUCUAGAGAGGGAAGAAGCCUUCUUUCUCCUGUCUCCUCCCCCCUUCUCGAUCUCUUUCUCUCUCUCAAGCUUAGAUAGAGAUAAGCCGCAGUGCUGCCUUGCUCCUAGCUCCUUCUUCCCCUCCUCUUAUCUUCUCACAGAUGGCAUUCCUCGUGGAGAGGUGCAGAGGUGGUGGUGGAGAGAUGGCGGCGGCGUCCAUGGACGUGGAGAUGAGCUCGCACGCCGCCAAGCCGGUGGCGCCGGCCCCCUUCCUGACCAAGACCUUCCAGCUGGUGGACGACCCCCGCACCGACCACGUCGUGUCGUGGGGGGAGGACGGCGCCACCUUCGUUGUCUGGCGGCCGCCAGAGUUCGCCAGGGACCUCCUCCCCAACUACUUCAAGCACAACAACUUCUCCAGCUUCGUCAGGCAGCUCAACACCUAUGUAAGUGAGUGUCUCCCUGCUGGCUGAUUCUUGCUUGGUUUGAUUUGGAGGCUCCUGUGUUUCUGUGCAACUUAAUGGGGAUCCUAGAUAAGCUUUAUUAUUUAAAAAUCAGAGCAUUGCUGGCAUUUUCAUUGUGGAUGGUGUUUACGUUAGCUGUGAGAUUUGAUUUGUUUUCUACUCAGAAAUGUGUUCUUUUGAAACGAACUCAGGAAUGUGUGGUAAUAACCACUAAUAAUUUGGUGGUGAAAAGAUGAGCGUGAAAUAUAUGCAUGUCUGAAGAUCUUAUUGCUGUACCUGACUACCUGUUGGUUGGUGGUGACAUUUCAUCCUUUCGAUUUCGUGUCUCCCAGAAUGUGACAAUAGGGAUGGGUGGUUGUGGACGUACUGGGAGUGUGGGAUAAGUCUUGUUGCUAGAUUUGAAGGUACUGCAAGUGUGCUUCCCACCUGCAGAUUUUUAUUUUAUUUUCGUGUCUUCAAAAAUCCAUCUUUUAUUAAAAAAACUCUGUUACCUUUUGCCUUUUUUGUCACAGAAUUUUUUUCCUAAAACAAGGAGAGUGCACGUUGACGUCAUCUUGUUCUUCCAUAUAUGCGGUUGUGUUGGGAUUCUCUUUUUCUAAUAUUUUUUUAUUAUUUUUUGAGGACUGAGUUUGAUUCUUUUGAACUAAGCUCAUCAGUUGGAUUCUUGCUAUUUAUGCUUCCUCAUACCCAGUUUUGUCCACAACUCCUCUCGUACUUGCAAACCAAUACUUUGUCACGAGUUCACAGCAAGCCAUUAUAUAUACCACAUUUACAACAUCCAUCACUUCUUCACCCUCCUCUCAUCUGCAGUUAGCACGCCAUGAAAUACACAUUCAUACGCCUCUCGUGCACCAGUUAACAGUACAUCAUUUUUCUCAGUGAUAUUCGCCUCCCAAUCAUUGGCAGAGAAAAGAUUGACAUAAACACUUGCAGUGCUGUAGCAUCAGUCCAUGUAGCAUCGAUUUUCACUCGGGCUUAAUUCAGAGUUGGCUUCAGGAAGAUCGUGGCAGACAGGUGGGAGUUCGCCAACGAGUUCUUCAAGAAGGGCGCCAGGCACCUCCUCUCGGAGAUCCACCGGAGGAAGCCCUCGUCGUGCUGCUCGCAGCCGCCGCCGCCGCUGCAGCCACUCC
Molecule: RNA transcript, 3284 nt
Organism: Panicum virgatum (switchgrass)
Lineage: Eukaryota; Viridiplantae; Streptophyta; Magnoliopsida; Poales; Poaceae
Gene name: heat stress transcription factor B-4d-like
Exons: 3
Source: RefSeq, a predicted model, not a curated record